CAAAAAAAAGAGUUCCAUAUAGAGCCCUUGGAGGGCAAAGAAUCCAUUUUAUUAAAAUGGUUCUAUAAUUCACGUUUGUGACUGAAGUGUAAACUAAAGAUUACACAAUAAUUACAGACCUACACAACUCAUUUACAAACCUACACAACUCAUUCACAAACCUUUUUGUGUCAAUAGGCUGUGGUCAAAUAAAGAGAGAGUCAACAAAUAGGCUAUUCAUAUUUAUUGUAUGAUUUAUUUCCUGUGAGCUUUUUUAUGCAAGUUUGUACAUUAGCAUGAAACUUACAGUGCAGUUUGCGUUUUUGGUGAAUAACCAGGUGUUUUCUUUAUUUUGUACAUUCUAUAUUGUCAAUGUUUAAUUUAACCUGAAGGGGCAUUAAAUACAAAUAAUCGCAAAAGUGCCCUCUGGUGGCGUAUAUAUGCGUUGCACCAUAAGCGAAGAUGAGCCUCCAGACCUGACAGGUUUUUUUUCAAACUGAGGAGUUCGGACUCCGGACCGGCAUUUCUGCUUGUUGGUACCCUGAGGUAAGUAAACUUUCUACAUUUUUGAAACGAUAUUACACUCUAAAAGUUGGGUUAUUUUGUUUGGUUGUUUUAUCAGUGUUGGGUAGUUUUUGUGUAACCCAACUUGUUGGGUUAUAUGUUGGGUAAUUUUGAAGCAGAGCCAGCUUAAUAGAUACAUAGCUGUUUCUCAAUAUUACUUUCUCUAGUCCACAAAAUGUAUUUUAAACAUAAGUUCAGGCGAGAAUAUAUAUGUAUAAUGUUCAAAUUUGCAGUCGGUUUGUAAAGUGAAUGCCAAUUUUAAAGUUUAAUUACACAAAGUCGGAAUGUUACCGGCGUGACCACCGGGUGUCAGUGUUGUUCUUCCCCAGAGAGAACUCGUCCCUUCCCCCACACAGACGCGUCAGUGCCUCUCACUGCAACGAUACCUGAAGCGGGAGUUUACUAUUCACCUGAGGAUUCAUGAACGGUUUUUCAUCGACUUAUCUUUGAUUUAUUUGAAGGAAAAGGUUUGUAUCACUGUUUUUAAUCAUUUAAACUAUUUCUGAAUGCAAAAGUAUGCAAAAUUAUGGUUCACAUGACAUAACUGUUAUUAAACUAGUUUUAUUAGCUUCCGUUGGCUAGUCUGUAAUGCCCAGUAAAUCUAAACGAUGUUUAUGCUUGCUUUUAAAUGAUUUAAAUAUUUCGUUUGAUCAAACGUUUUAUGAAAUAUGUCUAAAACAUGGCUUGUUUUAAUAAUUUUAGAAACGUUACAAUGUAACGUAUUCUAAUGGUUUAGAAAUUCAGUUUAAAACAGAUAACGUUAAUAUGAGGAAGAAACGUGUACGUUUUAAAUAAAUAAUCGUUUGUUGUAAAAGUUGAAAUCAAACUGAUGCUUUUAAUAUCAUGUUUAGAUCAUGAAACUUUAGCCUUGAGUUCACAGACAGGGUCACAUAUUGUGAACUCUCAUUUGGUCUGUUUAAGUUACAGACAUUUUUAUCUUUUUCAAAUGUUUUUGAUGAUGCCCACUUAAAUCACAGUUUUGGCUCUUUUCCACAGACCCUGAUGGAUAAAAGAUGGAUAUUUUUUUCCUGGAGAAGCUAAAACAAUGUAACUUUCAGGUUCUGAUACCAGCUUUUACAAAGUUAUUUACAGAGUUCACCAGACUUCUCUGUGUUAUUUCCUGACCAUGCCGAAAAGCUAUUUGAAACUUGGGCAUUGCAUUUUCCAGACAGAAUCCUGCACUUCCCAGCCAAGAACCAGGAGCAUCAACAAAUCACCUCCAGAACCCCAUGAUGAUAUUCCAACUCCUGUCUACAAAAGUGGGAAGAAAAUCUUAAGUCUAUGUUGGGACCAACAUGGUUGCAUUCUUCUGAGAGGCUGAUGUGACAAAACCAUUACCAUUUGUCCUUGGAUUGGAAGAUGGCGAUCUCUGCCAUCAAGCCUUCUUUGUUUUUGACAGACAGUCACUCCAGCAAUACACCCUCCUUGGUGAUGUUGACAUGUUUUAAACUUUUUUUUAUGUUUUGGACAUUAAUUUUACUAAGCAGUGCACAUCAGUGUGGGUGUUUUUGAAGACUGUUGUUUACAAACUCCCAAGAACGGAAUCCCUUUUUAUAAGAAGUCUGUGUAGUUAUUUGUCAUGCUAAGGUGAUAACUCAUGUUGAUCAUAUAUUGACUGUUUGUGCAACUUUGUGUUGAUCUUAUGUGUUACAUUAACCAUUUCUUAUUACACGGUUCUCUAAAAUGCUAGAUUCUGAUUGGCCAGUCGUGACAUUCUACUACUGCUCAAAACUAAAAACUCCAAUGCUGCAAAUCAUUUUGACAGGUACAGUUUUAUAUUACACAAAAAUUAAAUAUCAAUGUCUAUUAAUUACACAUCCGACAUUAAAUUUACAAAUGAUUAAAUGUGUUCGUGACAUUUGUCCUGAAGAAACUGUUGGGGCUUUUUUCUUUGAUGACAUGCUGCCAAUACAUUAUCCCUUACUUGUACAACUUUUUACUUGAUCUAAUUGUAAUGUUAACUGGGUAUCUGUCAUUUUAGAUU
Molecule: non-coding RNA, 2527 nt
Organism: Paramisgurnus dabryanus
Lineage: Eukaryota; Metazoa; Chordata; Actinopteri; Cypriniformes; Cobitidae
Source: RefSeq, a predicted model, not a curated record